Molecule: ribosomal RNA, 427 nt
Filed under: Bacteroidota bacterium
Lineage: Bacteria; Pseudomonadati; Bacteroidota
Description: Bacteroidetes bacterium partial 16S ribosomal RNA
Rfam family: Bacterial small subunit ribosomal RNA
Source: RNAcentral
UAGGGAAUCUUCCGCAAUGGACGCAAGUCUGACGGAGCAACGCCGCGUGAGUGAAGAAGGAUUUCGGUUCGUAAAACUCUGUUGUUAGAGAAGAACAGCGCAUAGAGUAACUGUUAUGCGUGUGACGGUAUCUAACCAGAAAGCCACGGCUAACUACGUGCCAGCAGCCGCGGUAAUACGUAGGUGGCAAGCGUUGUCCGGAUUUAUUGGGCGUAAAGCGAGCGCAGGCGGUCAAUUAAGUCUGAUGAAAGCCCCCGGCUCAACCGGGGAGGGUCAUUGGAAACUGGUUGACUUGAGUGCAGAAGAGGAGAGUGGAAUUCCAUGUGUAGCGGUGAAAUGCGUAGAUAUAUGGAGGAACACCAGUGGCGAAGGCGACUCUCUGGUCUGUAACUGACGCUGAGGUUCGAAAGCGUGGGUAGCAAACAGG